AAAUUCGUAGUUUAGCAGAAGAAUGUUUUAUUUACAAUAAAAAGGGGUAAGAA
This 53-nucleotide transfer RNA is filed under the name Mecistocirrus digitatus. RNAcentral's name for it is "tRNA-Val". The record is from RNAcentral. Lineage: Eukaryota; Metazoa; Nematoda; Chromadorea; Rhabditida; Trichostrongylidae.